UUUGACAGUCAUCCUGUUCUGCAUGUGUGUUUGAAGGAAGAUGUUCUGAGCUUACUGGAAACCUUCCAGUUGGACACAAGGUUGCUUCAUCACCUGUGUGGGCAUUCCAAGAUUCACCAGGACACGAGACUCACCCAACAUGUGCCUCUGCUCAAAAAGACCCUGGAACUGUUAGUUUGCAGAGUCAAAGCUAUGCUCACCCUCAACAAUUGUAGAGAGGCUUUCUGGCUGGGCAAUCUAAAAAACCGGGACUUGCAGGGUGAAGAGAUUAAGUCCCAAAAUUCCCAGGAGAGCACAGCAGAUGAGAGUGAGGAUGACAUGUCAUCCCAGGCCUCCAAGAGCAAAGCUACUGAGGAUGGUGAAGAAGACGAAGUAAGUGCUGGAGAAAAGGAGCAAGUUAGUGAUGAGAGUUACGAUGACUCUGAGUAGACCCCAGAUAAAUUGUUGCC
RNAcentral lists this small RNA (449 nucleotides) under Pongo abelii (Sumatran orangutan). Its description in RNAcentral is "processed transcript". The record is from RNAcentral. Lineage: Eukaryota; Metazoa; Chordata; Mammalia; Primates; Hominidae.